AUGGUGGACCGUCCACAACAAUGUCUGCGCUGGUCUCCCUUUCAAGCAGUCCGAACCAACUAUAUUUUUAACAACGGACUCAUCCUUACGUGUUUGGGGGGCCCACACAGGGGAAUUAACAGUACAAGGCAUUUGGUCAAAGGAAGAAGCAGGCGAGCACAUAAACUACUUAGAACUUCUCACAGUACAGAAGGCACUGAAAGCUUUCGAACCAGCUCUCACAGGACAUGUCAUUCAAGUCAUCACCGACAAUACGACUACAAAGUACUAUCUAAACAGACAAGGAGGAACGAGAUCAAAGCGACUUCUUCAACUCUCCCUUCAAUUGUGGAAUUGGUGCAUCGACAAGGAAAUAGACCUAAUGGCGAUACAUCUGCCGGGAGAAGAAAAUGUCCUUGCAGACCAACUAAGCAGGACAUCUUUUGCGAACCACGAAUGGUCACUCCACGAGGAAGUAGUGAAGAUGUUAGUCAAUUACUGGGGAGUCCCGCGCAUAGACCUAUUUGCUUCACCACAAACUUCGAAAUGCCCUCUGUACUGUGCUCGCCAACCUGCCAAUCUGAGACCAGGAUGUCUAGGGGAUGCGUUCCUUCAACAGUGGAACGGCAAAUUUCUAUAUCUGUUUCCACCAAUUCCCCUUAUCACGAAGGUGAUUUCCAAAAUACAGAAGGACAAAACAAAUUGCAUUCUAAUCACCCCGUGGUAGCCUCGACAGCCAUGGUUUGCGAGCCUCUUACUUCUGUCCAAGAGGGAGUACAUUCGCCUACCAAGCCGCCCGAAUUUGUUAUCAACCCAGGGAGGUAUGGUCUGGCAUCCGGAUGUGCUUCAGCUCAAGUUGACAGCGUGGCGAAUUCGUUAAAUGCAGUGACUCCAACAUUAUCUGCUUCAGUGCAAAAGAUACUGUCAGCAGCACAUAGAACGUCCACAAAGAGAUCAUACAUGUAUAAAUGGACUCGAUUUAAAACAUUCGCUCAACAUAAAGGAGUUCAACCAGAAUCAGCACCGUCUGCCAUAGUACUAGACUUCUUGGGCUCACUUGUAGAUGCAGGAUUAUCAUUAUCAUCGCUGAAAUGUUAUCUUGCUGCAAUAUCCUGGUAUAGGAGGAAAGCUGGUUUACCAUCAUGUUUCACAGACCCAUUAAUUGCACUAUUUCUUCGAGAUUUUAAGAAUCUGAGACCAUGUGAUGACUCAUGGGCCUUGUAG
RNAcentral lists this long non-coding RNA (1203 nucleotides) under Anolis carolinensis (green anole). Its description in RNAcentral is "lncRNA (ENSACAG00000044280.1)". Lineage: Eukaryota; Metazoa; Chordata; Lepidosauria; Squamata; Anolidae. The record is from RNAcentral.